This 225-nucleotide ribosomal RNA is filed under the name uncultured bacterium. RNAcentral describes it as "partial 16S ribosomal RNA". It matches the Rfam family "Bacterial small subunit ribosomal RNA", at positions 524 to 747 of the family's 1533-position model. The record is from RNAcentral.
CACGUAGGGUGCGAGCGUUGUCCGGAAUUAUUGGGCGUAAAGAGCUCGUAGGCGGUGUGUCGCGUCGGCCGUGAAAACCUGCAGCUUAACUGUGGGCUUGCGGUCGAUACGGGCAUCACUGGAGUCCGGCAGGGGAGACUGGAAUUCCUGGUGUAGCGGUGAAAUGCGCAGAUAUCAGGAGGAACACCGGUGGCGAAGGCGGGUCUCUGGGCCGAUACUGACGCU